GACGAACGCUGGCGGCGUGCCUAAUACAUGCAAGUAGAACGCUGAAGAGAGGAGCUUGCUCUUCUUGGAUGAGUUGCGAACGGGUGAGUAACGCGUAGGUAACCUGCCUUGUAGCGGGGGAUAACUAUUGGAAACGAUAGCUAAUACCGCAUAACAAUGGAUGACACAUGUCAUUUAUUUGAAAGGGGCAAUUGCUCCACUACAAGAUGGACCUGCGUUGUAUUAGCUAGUAGGCGAGGUAACGGCUCACCUAGGCGACGAUACAUAGCCGACCUGAGAGGGUGAUCGGCCACACUGGGACUGAGACACGGCCCAGACUCCUACGGGAGGCAGCAGUAGGGAAUCUUCGGCAAUGGGGGCAACCCUGACCGAGCAACGCCGCGUGAGUGAAGAAGGUUUUCGGAUCGUAAAGCUCUGUUGUAAGUCAAGAACGAGUGUGAGAGUGGAAAGUUCACACUGUGACGGUAGCUUACCAGAAAGGGACGGCUAACUACGUGCCAGCAGCCGCGGUAAUACGUAGGUCCCGAGCGUUGUCCGGAUUUAUUGGGCGUAAAGCGAGCGCAGGCGGUUUGAUAAGUCUGAAGUUAAAGGCUGUGGCUCAACCAUAGUUCGCUUUGGAAACUGUCAAACUUGAGUGCAGAAGGGGAGAGUGGAAUUCCAUGUGUAGCGGUGAAAUGCGUAGAUAUAUGGAGGAACACCGGUGGCGAAAGCGGCUCUCUGGUCUGUAACUGACGCUGAGGCUCGAAAGCGUGGGGAGCGAACAGGAUUAGAUACCCUGGUAGUCCACGCCGUAAACGAUGAGUGCUAGGUGUUGGAUCCUUUCCGGGAUUCAGUGCCGCAGCUAACGCAUUAAGCACUCCGCCUGGGGAGUACGACCGCAAGGUUGAAACUCAAAGGAAUUGACGGGGGCCCGCACAAGCGGUGGAGCAUGUGGUUUAAUUCGAAGCAACGCGAAGAACCUUACCAGGUCUUGACAUCCCGAUGCUAUUUCUAGAGAUAGAAAGUUACUUCGGUACAUCGGUGACAGGUGGUGCAUGGUUGUCGUCAGCUCGUGUCGUGAGAUGUUGGGUUAAGUCCCGCAACGAGCGCAACCCCUAUUGUUAGUUGCCAUCAUUCAGUUGGGCACUCUAGCGAGACUGCCGGUAAUAAACCGGAGGAAGGUGGGGAUGACGUCAAAUCAUCAUGCCCCUUAUGACCUGGGCUACACACGUGCUACAAUGGUUGGUACAACGAGUUGCGAGUCGGUGACGGCAAGCUAAUCUCUUAAAGCCAAUCUCAGUUCGGAUUGUAGGCUGCAACUCGCCUACAUGAAGUCGGAAUCGCUAGUAAUCGCGGAUCAGCACGCCGCGGUGAAUACGUUCCCGGGCCU
This 1369-nucleotide ribosomal RNA is filed under the name uncultured bacterium. Its description in RNAcentral is "bacterial SSU rRNA". It matches the Rfam family "Bacterial small subunit ribosomal RNA", at positions 28 to 1381 of the family's 1533-position model. The record is from RNAcentral.